UCUUUAUUCAUUAUACCUGCUGCUGCUGC
Molecule: non-coding RNA, 29 nt
Filed under: Mus musculus (house mouse)
Lineage: Eukaryota; Metazoa; Chordata; Mammalia; Rodentia; Muridae
Source: RNAcentral